This 496-nucleotide ribosomal RNA is filed under the name uncultured bacterium. Its description in RNAcentral is "partial 16S ribosomal RNA". It matches the Rfam family "Bacterial small subunit ribosomal RNA", at positions 28 to 506 of the family's 1533-position model. The record is from RNAcentral.
GAUGAACGCUGGCGGCGUGCCUAAUACAUGCAAGUCGAGCGAACAGACGAGGAGCUUGCUCCUCUGACGUUAGCGGCGGACGGGUGAGUAACACGUGGAUAACCUACCUAUAAGACUGGGAUAACUUCGGGAAACCGGAGCUAAUACCGGAUAAUAUAUUGAACCGCAUGGUUCAAUAGUGAAAGACGGUUUUGCUGUCACUUAUAGAUGGAUCCGCGCCGCAUUAGCUAGUUGGUAAGGUAACGGCUUACCAAGGCAACGAUGCGUAGCCGACCUGAGAGGGUGAUCGGCAAAACUGGAACUAAGAAACGGUCCAGACUCCAACGGGAGGCAGCAGUGGGGAAUCUGCCGCAAUGGGCGAAAGCUUGACGGGGCAACGCCGCGUGAGUGAUGAAGGUCUUCGGAUCGUAAAACUCCGUUAUUAGGGAAGAACAAAUGUGUAAGUAACUAUGCACGUCUUGACGGUACCUAAUCAGAAAGCCACGGCUAACUACGU